RNAcentral lists this ribosomal RNA (235 nucleotides) under uncultured bacterium. Its description in RNAcentral is "partial 16S ribosomal RNA". It matches the Rfam family "Bacterial small subunit ribosomal RNA", at positions 15 to 246 of the family's 1533-position model. The record is from RNAcentral.
GAUCCUGGCUCAGAUUGAACGCUGGCGGCAUGCUUUACACAUGCAAGUCGGACGGCAGCACAGAGAAGCUUGCUUCUUGGGUGGCGAGUGGCGAACGGGUGAGUAAUAUAUCGGAACGUACCGAGUAAUGGGGGAUAACUAAUCGAAAGAUUAGCUAAUACCGCAUAUUCUCUGAGGAGGAAAGCAGGGGACCUUCGGGCCUUGCGUUAUUCGAGCGGCCGAUAUCUGAUUAGCG